This 823-nucleotide ribosomal RNA is filed under the name uncultured bacterium. RNAcentral describes it as "bacterial SSU rRNA". It matches the Rfam family "Bacterial small subunit ribosomal RNA", at positions 8 to 825 of the family's 1533-position model. The record is from RNAcentral.
AGAGUUUGAUCCUGGCUCAGAUUGAACGCUGGCGGCAGGCUUAACACAUGCAAGUCGAGCGGGGGAGGUUGCUUCGGUAACUGACCUAGCGGCGGACGGGUGAGUAAUGCUUAGGAAUCUGCCUAUUAGUGGGGGACAACAUCUCGAAAGGGAUGCUAAUACCGCAUACGCCCUACGGGAGAAAGCAGGGGACCUUCGGGCCUUGCGCUAAUAGAUGAGCCUAAGUCGGAUUAGCUAGUUGGUGGGGUAAAGGCCUACCAAGGCGACGAUCUGUAGCGGGUCUGAGAGGAUGAUCCGCCACACUGGGACUGAGACACGGCCCAGACUCCUACGGGAGGCAGCAGUGGGGAAUAUUGGACAAUGGGGGGAACCCUGAUCCAGCCAUGCCGCGUGUGUGAAGAAGGCCUUUUGGUUGUAAAGCACUUUAAGCGAGGAGGAGGCUACUGGUAUUAAUACUACCGGAUAGUGGACGUUACUCGCAGAAUAAGCACCGGCUAACUCUGUGCCAGCAGCCGCGGUAAUACAGAGGGUGCGAGCGUUAAUCGGAUUUACUGGGCGUAAAGCGUGCGUAGGCGGCUUUUUAAGUCGGAUGUGAAAUCCCUGAGCUUAACUUAGGAAUUGCAUUCGAUACUGGGAGGCUAGAGUAUGGGAGAGGAUGGUAGAAUUCCAGGUGUAGCGGUGAAAUGCGUAGAGAUCUGGAGGAAUACCGAUGGCGAAGGCAGCCAUCUGGCCUAAUACUGACGCUGAGGUACGAAAGCAUGGGGAGCAAACAGGAUUAGAUACCCUGGUAGUCCAUGCCGUAAACGAUGUCUACUAGCCGUUG